GGCCCUCGAAAUCCUGUGGCGGGAGCAUUCAGUCGGAGCGCUCGCGUCGCCCGCCGGAAUAGAAACAGAAGGUUCCCCGUGACGGGGGCCGUUCCGGCGCGGCGGUUCGUGGCGACCCGUCGCAUUUGCUUCCCGCCCAAAGGACGCCGCAACCGGUUGGGGGACGGCCUUAAGGGCGAGAGCUUGGCAGGAUGGGCUGGCUGGACGUGCACGACUUGCACGUCGCCGGUCUUUGGCCUUCUCGUCGCACGGCCCGUCCGCCGACCGUGGCAAAAGAGAGGCCCUUGCAUGGGCUUCGACGUCUCCUCCCUUAACGUGUUGCGGGAUGAGAAGCGCGGCAGGAGCUCGGCGCGGAGUGCGGGCACACGGACUGACCACCGUGGCCCAGUGGCACGCUCGAGUCUUCGUUAGCUGCGCAAGCCCCGUGGGAGUGCACGACGGUUUGCGGCGAGUAGAUCGGUCACCCACCCGACCCGUCUUGAAACACGGACCAAGGAGUCUAACAUGUGCGCGAGUCAAUGGGACUCGACUAAGCCCAGAGGCGCAAUGAAAGCGAAGGCCGGAGGACCGCCGGCCGUGUCGGGAUCCCCGCUCCCUCGCGGGCGGGGCGCACCGACGACCCGCCCCGUUCCACCUAGUGGAUGAGGCGGAGUCAGAGCGCACACUUUGGGACCCGAAAGAUGGUGAACUAUGCCCGGGCAGAACGAAGCCAGAGGAAACCCUGGUGGAGGUUCGUCGCGAUUCUGACGUGCAAAUCGAUCGUCAGAUCCAGG
Molecule: ribosomal RNA, 773 nt
Filed under: unidentified
Description: Troglohyphantes aff. cerberus CRBA002633 partial large subunit ribosomal RNA
Rfam family: Eukaryotic large subunit ribosomal RNA (bases 381-773)
Source: RNAcentral